GUGCCAGCCGCCGCGGUAAUACGUAGGGCGCAAGCGUUGUCCGGAUUUAUUGGGCGUAAAGAGCUCGUAGGCGGUUUGUCGCGUCUUCCGUGAAAACUGGGGGCUUAACUUCCAGCUUGCGGUGGAUACGGGCUGACUGGAGUGCGGCAGGGGAGACUGGAAUUCCUGGUGUAGCGGUGAAAUGCGCAGAUAUCAGGAGGAACACCGGUGGCGAAGGCGGGUCUCUGGGCCGUUACUGACGCUGAGGAGCGAAAGCGUGGGGAGCGAACAGGAUUAGAAACCCGAGUAGUCC
This 292-nucleotide ribosomal RNA is filed under the name uncultured bacterium. RNAcentral's name for it is "partial 16S ribosomal RNA". It matches the Rfam family "Bacterial small subunit ribosomal RNA", at positions 505 to 796 of the family's 1533-position model. The record is from RNAcentral.